RNAcentral lists this ribosomal RNA (316 nucleotides) under uncultured eukaryote. Its description in RNAcentral is "partial 18S ribosomal RNA". It matches the Rfam family "Eukaryotic small subunit ribosomal RNA", at positions 1470 to 1796 of the family's 1831-position model. The record is from RNAcentral.
CCCUUAGAUGUUCUGGGCCGCACGCGCGCUACACUGACGAAUGCAACGAGCUUAUAACCUUGGCCGAAAGGUCUGGGUAAUCUCCAAAUUUCGUCGUGAUGGGGAUAGAUUAUUGCAAUUAUUAAUCUUCAACGAGGAAUGCCUAGUAAUCGUAGGUCAUCAGCCUGCGAUGAUUACGUCCCUGCCCUUUGUACACACCGCCCGUCGCUCCUACCGAUUUCGAGUGGUUCGGUGAACCUUUCGGACCGGCAAUGCCUCGUGUUGCGCCGGAAAGUCAAGUAAACCAUAUCACUUAGAGGAAGGAGAAGUCGUAACA